RNAcentral lists this transfer RNA (83 nucleotides) under Babesia rodhaini. RNAcentral's name for it is "tRNA-Tyr". It matches the Rfam family "tRNA". From Rfam's summary of the family: Transfer RNA (tRNA) molecules are approximately 80 nucleotides in length. Their secondary structure includes four short double-helical elements and three loops (D, anti-codon, and T loops). The record is from RNAcentral. Lineage: Eukaryota; Apicomplexa; Aconoidasida; Piroplasmida; Babesiidae.
AAAGAAGUUCCUUAGUGGUCUAUAGGGGUGGUUUGUAGGGCCAUUGAUUUAAUUCUUCAUCAGUUCGAAUCUGAUCUUCUUUA